RNAcentral lists this ribosomal RNA (334 nucleotides) under Ischnochiton australis. RNAcentral's name for it is "eukaryotic LSU rRNA". It matches the Rfam family "Eukaryotic large subunit ribosomal RNA", at positions 34 to 359 of the family's 3401-position model. The record is from RNAcentral. Lineage: Eukaryota; Metazoa; Mollusca; Polyplacophora; Chitonida; Ischnochitonidae.
UUAAGCAUAUCACUAAGCGGAGGAAAAGAAACUAACAAGGAUUCCCGCAGUAACGGCGAGUGAAGCGGGAAUAGCCCAGCGCCGAAUCCCACGGGUCGCACUCGUUGGGACAUGUGGUGUAUAGGCCAGCCUCUGGCGCCGACUUCGGCUGCCCGAGUCCUCCUGAUAGGGGCCUUUUCCCAGAGCGGGUGUUAGGCCUCUACUGGCAGCCAAGACGGUGUCUCUGAGCGGCCCAAGAGUCGGGUUGUUUGUGAAUGCAGCCCAAAGCGGGUGGUAAACUCCAUCUAAGGCUAAAUACUUGCACGCGUCCGAUAGCAGACAAGUACCGUGAGGG